RNAcentral lists this transfer RNA (65 nucleotides) under Benedenia seriolae. RNAcentral describes it as "tRNA-Cys". The record is from RNAcentral. Lineage: Eukaryota; Metazoa; Platyhelminthes; Monogenea; Capsalidea; Capsalidae.
AGGUAAAUAGGUUUAUACCCUUUAUUUUGCAAAAAUAAUGUUAAGAAAAUUUUUCUUUUUAUCUU